RNAcentral lists this ribosomal RNA (484 nucleotides) under uncultured bacterium. Its description in RNAcentral is "SSU rRNA". It matches the Rfam family "Bacterial small subunit ribosomal RNA", at positions 8 to 472 of the family's 1533-position model. The record is from RNAcentral.
AGAGUUUGAUCCUGGCUCAGGACGAACGCUGGCGGCGUGCCUAAUACAUGCAAGUCGAACGAGGACCGGGUGCUUGCAUCCGGAGCCGAGUGGCGAACGGGUGAGUAACACGUGACCAAUCUACCCUAGGGAGGGGGAUAACCUGGGGAAACCCGGGCUAAUACCGCGUGAUGUGCAGCCAUCGCAUGGCGGCUGUACCAAAGAGGGCCUCUACUAGUAAGCUCUCGCCCAGGGAGGAGGUCGCGGCGUAUCAGCUGGUUGGUGGGGUAACGGCCUACCAAGGCGACGACGCGUAGCGGGUCUGAGAGGACGAUCCGUCACAUAGGGACUGAGAUACGGCCCAGACUUCUACGGAAGGCAGCAGUAGGGAAUAUAGCGCAAUGGUCGAAAGACUGACGCANCGACGCCGCGUGUGGGAGGAAGCCUUACGGGGUGUAAACCACUGUCAGAGGGGAAGAACCACCCACCUCCAAACAGGUAGUGC